RNAcentral lists this transfer RNA (73 nucleotides) under Goniomonas avonlea. Its description in RNAcentral is "tRNA-Ile". It matches the Rfam family "tRNA". From Rfam's summary of the family: Transfer RNA (tRNA) molecules are approximately 80 nucleotides in length. Their secondary structure includes four short double-helical elements and three loops (D, anti-codon, and T loops). Lineage: Eukaryota; Cryptophyceae; Goniomonadida; Goniomonadaceae. The record is from RNAcentral.
GGGCCCCUAACUCAGUCGGUAGAGUGUGCGCAUGAUAAGCGUUACGUCAGUAGUUCAAAUCUACUGGGGCUCA